Molecule: ribosomal RNA, 489 nt
Filed under: uncultured bacterium
Lineage: Bacteria
Description: bacterial SSU rRNA
Rfam family: Bacterial small subunit ribosomal RNA
Source: RNAcentral
GACGAACGCUGGCGGCGUGCCUAACACAUGCAAGUCGAGCGGAGUUUAGCAGUUAGCUUGCUAACAGUUAAACUUAGCGGCGGACGGGUGAGUAACGCGUGAGGAACCUGCCUUACAGAGGGGGAUAACACAUCGAAAGGUGUGCUAAUACCGCAUGAAAUCAUAGUACCGCAUGGUAGAAUGAUCAAAGGAGUAAUCCGCUGUAAGAUGGUCUCGCGUCUGAUUAGCUAGUUGGUGAGGUAAUGGCUCACCAAGGCGACGAUCAGUAGCCGACCUGAGAGGGUGAUCGGCCACAUUGGGACUGAGACACGGCCCAGACUCCUACGGGAGGCAGCAGUGGGGAAUAUUGCGCAAUGGGGGAAACCCUGACGCAGCAACGCCGCGUGAAGGAGAAGGUCUUCGGAUCGUAAACUUUGUCUUCUGGGAAGAAGAUGACGGUACCAGAGGAGGAAGCCACGGCUAACUACGUGCCAGCAGCCGCGGUAAUCA